This 262-nucleotide ribosomal RNA is filed under the name uncultured bacterium. RNAcentral's name for it is "partial 16S ribosomal RNA". It matches the Rfam family "Bacterial small subunit ribosomal RNA", at positions 99 to 354 of the family's 1533-position model. The record is from RNAcentral.
CGCACGGGUGAGUAACACGUGAGUGACCUGCCUUUUAGACUGGAACAACUUACCGAAAGGUGAGUUAAUGCCGGAUGAGUUAUAUAAGUGCAUGUUUAUAUAGGAAAAGUUGGGGAGACCUGACGCUGAAAGAUGGACUCGCGUCCCAUUAGCUAGUUGGUAGGGUAAUGGCCUACCAAGGCGACGAUGGGUAGCCGGCCUGAGAGGGUGGCCGGCCACACUGGGACUGAGACACGGCCCAGACUCCUACGGAAGGCAGCAG